GUGCCAGCAGCCGCGGUAAUACGUAGGUGACAAGCGUUGUCCGGAUUUACUGGGUGUAAAGGGCGCGUAGGCGGGCUAUCAAGUCAGCCGUGAAAUGCCGGGGCUUAACCCCGGAGCUGCGGUUGAAACUGACAGUCUUGAGUAUCGGAGAGGAAAGCGGAAUUCCUAGUGUAGCGGUGAAAUGCGUAGAUAUUAGGAGGAACACCAGUGGCGAAGGCGGCUUUCUGGACGACAACUGACGCUGAGGCGCGAAAGUGUGGGGAGCAAACAGGAUUAGAUACCCUGGUAGUCCACACCGUAAACGAUGGAUACUAGGUGUAGGAGGUAUCGACCCCUUCUGUGCCGCAGUUAACACAAUAAGUAUCCCACCUGGGGAGUACGACCGCAAGGUUGAAACUCAAAGGAAUUGACGGGGGCCCGCACAAGCAGUGGAGUAUGUGGUUUAAUUCGAAGCAACGCGAAGAACCUUACCUGGGCUUGACAUCCCGAUGACCGUUCUGGAGACAGAAUUUCCCUUCGGGGCAUCGGUGACAGGUGGUGCAUGGUUGUCGUCAGCUCGUGUCGUGAGAUGUUGGGUUAAGUCCCGCAACGAGCGCAACCCCUAUUGUCAGUUGCCAUCAUUCAGUUGGGCACUCUGGCGAGACUGCCGGUGACAAAUCGGAGGAAGGUGGGGACGACGUCAAAUCAUCAUGCCCCUUAUGCCCAGGGCUACACACGUACUACAAUGGCCGAUAACAAAGUGCAGCGAAACCGCGAGGUGGAGCGAAUCACAAAACUCGGUCUCAGUUCAGAUUGCAGGCUGCAACUCGCCUGCAUGAAGUUGGAAUUGCUAGUAAUCGCGAAUCAGAAUGUCGCGGUGAAUACGUUCCCGGGCCUUGUACACACCGCCCGU
Molecule: ribosomal RNA, 892 nt
Filed under: uncultured bacterium
Lineage: Bacteria
Description: bacterial SSU rRNA
Rfam family: Bacterial small subunit ribosomal RNA
Source: RNAcentral